RNAcentral lists this ribosomal RNA (439 nucleotides) under uncultured bacterium. Its description in RNAcentral is "bacterial SSU rRNA". It matches the Rfam family "Bacterial small subunit ribosomal RNA", at positions 8 to 447 of the family's 1533-position model. The record is from RNAcentral.
AGAGUUUGAUCCUGGCUCAGAUUGAACGCUGGCGGCGUGCCUAACACAUGCAAGUCGAGCGGUAACAGGUGUAGCAAUACAUGCUGACGAGCGGCGAACGGGUGAGUAAUGCUUUGGAAUCUUCCCAGUAGUGGGGAAUAACCAGUCGAAAGAUUGGCUAAUACCGCAUACGUCUGUAAAGGGAAAGCGGGGGCUCGUAAGACCUCGCGCUAUUGGAUGAGCCAAAGUCGGAUUAGCUAGUUGGUGGGGUAAUGGCCUACCAAGGCGACGAUCCGUAGCUGGUCUGAGAGGACGACCAGCCACACCGGAACUGAGACACGGUCCGGACUCCUACGGGAGGCAGCAGUGGGGAAUAUUGGACAAUGGGGGAAACCCUGAUCCAGCGACGCCGCGUGUGUGAAGAAGGCCUGCGGGUUGUAAAGCACUUUUAGUGGGGACA